UCCUUAGAUGUUCUGGGCCGCACGCGUGCUACACUGAGUGGAUCAGCGGGUCAGGUUGCGCGAAAGUGUUUCCUAAUCUUGAAAUCCGCUCGUGAUGGGGAUUGACGGUUGCAAUUUUCCGUCAUGAACGAGGAAUACCUUGUAAGCGCGGGUCAUCAUCCCGCGCUGAAUACGUCCCUGCCCUUUGUACACACCGCCCGUCGCUCCUACCGAUUGAGUGGUCCGGUGAGGCUUUGGGAUCUGAGCAAAAAGAGCGUUUCGCUCGUUUGGCUCGGAAAACUCAGUCGAACCUUAUCAUUUAGAGGAAGGAGAAGUCGUAACA
Molecule: ribosomal RNA, 322 nt
Filed under: uncultured eukaryote
Lineage: Eukaryota
Description: partial 18S ribosomal RNA
Rfam family: Eukaryotic small subunit ribosomal RNA
Source: RNAcentral